AGCCAUGUGAUAACUACAUAGUGAACUAUUCUUUCGCCUUUUACUAAAGAAUACCGUGUAGCUGUCAUUCAAAGUGGCAUACGACAAUUUUUUUUAAAAGUUCAACAUAAUGGUG
Molecule: small nuclear RNA, 115 nt
Organism: Trifolium pratense (red clover)
Lineage: Eukaryota; Viridiplantae; Streptophyta; Magnoliopsida; Fabales; Fabaceae
Product: U5 spliceosomal RNA
Exons: 1
Source: RefSeq, a predicted model, not a curated record